This 103-nucleotide small RNA is filed under the name Idiomarina sp. A28L. RNAcentral's name for it is "t44 RNA". It matches the Rfam family "t44 RNA". Rfam says of the family: This family consists of a number of bacterial RNA genes of between 135 and 170 bases in length. The t44 gene is found between the map and rpsB genes in all species in the full alignment apart from Shigella flexneri. The record is from Rfam by way of RNAcentral. Lineage: Bacteria; Pseudomonadati; Pseudomonadota; Gammaproteobacteria; Alteromonadales; Idiomarinaceae.
AUAUUAAACUCUAAAUUACACACACAUAUCGGCACAUGGUGCGGGGUGCUUGGAUUGCUUAAAUGCAAUGCGGGUCGCAACAUGGGAUAUGUGGAGGCAUAAC